This is a non-coding RNA of Paramuricea clavata, 337 nucleotides long. The record is from the annotation of a GenBank genome assembly. NCBI's taxonomy places the organism in Eukaryota, Metazoa, Cnidaria, Anthozoa, Malacalcyonacea, Plexauridae.
CCGCGUUUUAUCCCCCAUCCGCAUUUUCUCAUCCGUAUUUUCUCAUCCGCAUCCGUAUCCGCCAUCCGCAUCCGUAUCCGCCCUUUAUCCCUACCCGUUUUUAUGAGCGACUGUUCGUCGUUAGUUGCAAACGACGGUAAUAUAAACAAUUAAACAUAGUCAAGGUCGAAAGCGAUUAACUGUUAGAUUUCCUUUUAUACUAUUUUAUAACGAAAUAAUAGCGUUAUUUCUUACAAAUUUAGCUUUAUUGUAGAUUUAUUGAAAGUAUAAAAAACAUGGAAACGAUGAAGAAUGACUGUAGAUUGAAAAUAAGUGAAAUUAUCGACGUAGAAUGCUA